GCUGGCGGCAGGCCUAACACAUGCAAGUCGAGCGGUAACAUUUCAAGCUUGCUAGAAGAUGACGAGCGGCGGACGGGUGAGUAACGCGUAGAAAUCUACCUAGUAGUGGGGGAUAGCCCAGAGAAAUUUGGAUUAAUACCGCAUACGCCCUACGGGGGAAAGCGGGGGAUCUUCGGACCUCGUGCUAUUAGAUGAGUCUGCGUCGGAUUAGCUUGUUGGUGAGGUAAUGGCUCACCAAGGCGACGAUCCGUAGCUGGUCUGAGAGGAUGACCAGCCACACUGGAACUGAGACACGGUCCAGACUCCUACGGGAGGCAGCAGUGGGGAAUAUUGCACAAUGGGCGCAAGCCUGAUGCAGCCAUGCCGCGUGUGUGAAGAAGGCCUUAGGGUUGUAAAGCACUUUCAGCAGUGAGGAAAGGGGUGUCGUUAAUAGCGCCAUCCUGUGACGUUAACUGCAGAAGAAGGACCGGCUAACUCCGUG
This 481-nucleotide ribosomal RNA is filed under the name uncultured bacterium. Its description in RNAcentral is "bacterial SSU rRNA". It matches the Rfam family "Bacterial small subunit ribosomal RNA", at positions 35 to 507 of the family's 1533-position model. The record is from RNAcentral.